AUACGUAGGUGACAAGCGUUAUCCGGAUUUACUGGGCGUAAAGGGCGUGUAGGCGGUCUUGCAAGUCAGAAGUGAAAUUCCUGAGCUCAACUCGGGCGCUGCUUCUGAAACUGCAGGACUUGAGUGCUGGAGGGGAUAGCGGAAUUCCUAGUGGAGCGGUAAAAUGCGCAGAUAUUAGGAAGAACACCGGUGGCGAAGGCGUCUAUCUGGACAGUAACGGACGUUAGGGCGCGAAAGCGGGGUGAGCAAACAGGAUUAGAUACCCUGUGAGUCCACGCCGUAAACGAUGAAUACUAGGUGUAGGGGGUAUCGACUCCCUCUGUGCCGCAGUUAACACAAUAAGUAUUCCGCCUGGGGAGUACGGCCGAAAGGUUGAAACUCAAGGAAUUGACGGGG
Molecule: ribosomal RNA, 396 nt
Filed under: uncultured bacterium
Lineage: Bacteria
Description: partial 16S ribosomal RNA
Rfam family: Bacterial small subunit ribosomal RNA
Source: RNAcentral